AUGACUGCAAGCGCAAGUUUGGAGAGGGAGCAGAGAGCCAUAAACAGAAGAAACGGACGUGAGUCGUCAUUCGCUUCAAGUGGGAGUCAUGUCCCAAAAGCCACUAAUGGUAGGAUGAGCAAAGGCAUGAAAGCAAUGUUAAAACUUCACGCGGUUCAGGCGGCGUACGCUGCUGCUGAGGAGAAACGAUGUGCUCUUGAGGAGGAACAGUUUGGCAGACUUCCUGAUCGAGAUGGGUCGGCCAGUUCCUUUGAAGAGAGACAGUUUGGUUAUUUGGUUGGACGUGGUCAAGAGUACUACCGAACCUGCACCAAUACAACCAGAGAUCUGUCUUCCAUUGUCGUCUCGAUUGCUUUGUUUGACGGAGAUGAGAUGUUAUUUGCAUGCUCGGGCAUGUGUAUCACACGGGUCAACUCAAUUUCAGCUGACAAGAUUUGCGACUUCGGCGUGUUUGGUUACCGCAUAUAA
RNAcentral lists this ribosomal RNA (468 nucleotides) under Triticum aestivum (bread wheat). RNAcentral describes it as "partial small subunit ribosomal RNA". The record is from RNAcentral. Lineage: Eukaryota; Viridiplantae; Streptophyta; Magnoliopsida; Poales; Poaceae.